This 258-nucleotide ribosomal RNA is filed under the name uncultured Demequina sp. RNAcentral's name for it is "partial 16S ribosomal RNA". It matches the Rfam family "Bacterial small subunit ribosomal RNA", at positions 329 to 600 of the family's 1533-position model. The record is from RNAcentral. Lineage: Bacteria; Bacillati; Actinomycetota; Actinomycetes; Micrococcales; Demequinaceae.
GUACUGACCCUACGGGGGGCAGCAGUGGGGAAUAUUGCACAAUGGGCGAAAGCCUGAUGCAGCGACGCCGCGUGGGGGAUGAAGGCCUUCGGGUUGUAAACCCCUUUCAGCAGGGAAGAAGCGAAAGUGACGGUACCUGCAGAAGAAGCGCCGGCUAACUACGUGCCAGCAGCCGCGGUAAUACGUAGGGCGCAAGCGUUGUCCGGAAUUAUUGGGCGUAAAGAGCUCGUAGGCGGUCUGUCGCGUCUGCUGUGAAAA